This 252-nucleotide ribosomal RNA is filed under the name uncultured bacterium. Its description in RNAcentral is "partial 16S ribosomal RNA". It matches the Rfam family "Bacterial small subunit ribosomal RNA", at positions 525 to 776 of the family's 1533-position model. The record is from RNAcentral.
ACGGAGGGUGCGAGCGUUAAUCGGAAUUACUGGGCGUAAAGCGCGCGCAGGCGGCUAUUUAAGUGGGAUGUGAAAGCCCUGGGCUCAACCUGGGAACUGCAUCCCAAACUGAACAGCUAGAGUGUGUCAGAGGGUGCUGGAAUUUCCUGUGUAGCGGUGAAAUGCGUAGAUAUAGGAAGGAACACCAGUGGCGAAGGCGAGUACCUGGGACAACACUGACGCUGAGGUGCGAAAGCGUGGGGAGCAAACAGG